UUGAUAGGAAUGCUUAGUGGCGGACUGGUGCGUAACACGUGAGUAACCUGCCCCGAAGAGUGGAAUAACACAGCGAAAGUUGUGCUAAUACCGCAUAACAUGGUUGCACCGCAUGGUGCUGGCCAUCAAAGAUUUAUCGCUUUGGGAUGGACUCGCGUCCGAUUAGCUGGUUGGUGAGGUAACGGCUCACCAAGGCGACGAUCGGUAGCCGGACUGAGAGGUUGACCGGCCACAUUGGGACUGAGAUACGGCCCAGACUCC
This 261-nucleotide ribosomal RNA is filed under the name uncultured bacterium. Its description in RNAcentral is "partial 16S ribosomal RNA". It matches the Rfam family "Bacterial small subunit ribosomal RNA", at positions 79 to 339 of the family's 1533-position model. The record is from RNAcentral.